RNAcentral lists this ribosomal RNA (731 nucleotides) under Salmonella enterica. RNAcentral's name for it is "partial 23S ribosomal RNA". It matches the Rfam family "Bacterial large subunit ribosomal RNA", at positions 2072 to 2802 of the family's 2925-position model. Lineage: Bacteria; Pseudomonadati; Pseudomonadota; Gammaproteobacteria; Enterobacterales; Enterobacteriaceae. The record is from RNAcentral. RNAcentral also lists the same sequence under 2 other names.
GCGGCAAGACGGAAAGACCCCGUGAACCUUUACUAUAGCUUGACACUGAACAUUGAGCCUUGAUGUGUAGGAUAGGUGGGAGGCUUUGAAGUGUGGACGCCAGUCUGCAUGGAGCCGACCUUGAAAUACCACCCUUUAAUGUUUGAUGUUCUAACGUGGACCCGUAAUCCGGGUUGCGGACAGUGUCUGGUGGGUAGUUUGACUGGGGCGGUCUCCUCCUAAAGAGUAACGGAGGAGCACGAAGGUUGGCUAAUCCUGGUCGGACAUCAGGAGGUUAGUGCAAUGGCAUAAGCCAGCUUGACUGCGAGCGUGACGGCGCGAGCAGGUGCGAAAGCAGGUCAUAGUGAUCCGGUGGUUCUGAAUGGAAGGGCCAUCGCUCAACGGAUAAAAGGUACUCCGGGGAUAACAGGCUGAUACCGCCCAAGAGUUCAUAUCGACGGCGGUGUUUGGCACCUCGAUGUCGGCUCAUCACAUCCUGGGGCUGAAGUAGGUCCCAAGGGUAUGGCUGUUCGCCAUUUAAAGUGGUACGCGAGCUGGGUUUAGAACGUCGUGAGACAGUUCGGUCCCUAUCUGCCGUGGGCGCUGGAGAACUGAGGGGGGCUGCUCCUAGUACGAGAGGACCGGAGUGGACGCAUCACUGGUGUUCGGGUUGUCAUGCCAAUGGCACUGCCCGGUAGCUAAAUGCGGAAGAGAUAAGUGCUGAAAGCAUCUAAGCACGAAACUUGCCCCGA